This 358-nucleotide ribosomal RNA is filed under the name Symphytognathidae sp. SYMP-003-MAD. RNAcentral describes it as "partial 16S ribosomal RNA". The record is from RNAcentral. Lineage: Eukaryota; Metazoa; Arthropoda; Arachnida; Araneae; Symphytognathidae.
UUUUUAUAGAAAUUAUUAUAAGUAAUAUCUGCUCAAUGUAAAUAAAUAGCCGCAAAUAUAAUGUGAUAAGGUAGCAUAAUCACUUGCCUUUUAAUUAAAGGGUAGAAUGAAUGAUUUAACAAUUUAUUAAUUUUUUUAAUAAUUUUAAUUUAAAUUAUAUUAAAUAUAAAAAUAUAUUUAUAAAUAAAUAAGACGACAAGACCCUAUUAAACUUUACUUAAGUUUAACUGGGGAAGUUAUUUAAAAAUUAUUUUGAAUAAAAAUACAAAAUACCCAUUACAAUAGAAUAAAUCAAGUUACUAUAGGGAUAACAGCGUAAUAGAAUUUUAAAGCUCACAUUAAAAAAAAAAGAUUGCGA